CAUUAAGUGACUGAAAGUAAGUAAUGGUCUCUUAAACCAAAAAAUAGUAACUGACAAAUACUCUUAAUGG
Molecule: transfer RNA, 70 nt
Filed under: Tettigades limbata
Lineage: Eukaryota; Metazoa; Arthropoda; Insecta; Hemiptera; Cicadidae
Description: tRNA-Lys
Source: RNAcentral